Molecule: ribosomal RNA, 563 nt
Filed under: uncultured Sebacinales
Lineage: Eukaryota; Fungi; Basidiomycota; Agaricomycetes; Sebacinales
Description: eukaryotic LSU rRNA
Rfam family: Eukaryotic large subunit ribosomal RNA
Source: RNAcentral
UAGUAACGGCGAGUGAAGAGGGAAAAGCUCAAAUUUUGAAUCUGGUGUCUUUGACUCCCGAGUUGUAAUCUAGAGAAGUGUUUUCCGCGUUGGACCGUGUACAAGUUCCCUGGAACGGGGCGUCAUAGAGGGUGAGGAUCCCGUAUAUGCCACGGACUACCAAUGCUCUGUGAUACACUCUCAACGAGUCGAGUUGUUUGGGAAUGCAGCUCAAAAUGGGUGGUAAAUUCCAUCUAAAGCUAAAUAUUGGCGAGAGACCGAUAGCGAACAAGUACCGUGAGGGAAAGAUGAAAAGCACUUUGGAAAGAGAGUGAAACAGUACGUGAAAUUGUUGAAAGGGAAGCGUUUGAAGUCAGUCACGUCUGUCGGAAUUCAGCCUGGCUUCUGCCUGGUGUACUUUCCGUCCGACGGGUCAGCAUCAAUUUUGAUCGAGGGAAAAAGACAUGAGGAAUGUGGCUGUCUUCGGGCAGUGUUAUAGACUCGUGUUGUAUGUCUCGGUUGGGAUUGAGGAACGCAGCGCGCCUAUUGGCCGGGGGUUCGCGCCCCUCGGCACGCGCUUAGGA